GAGGGUAGAGCUCAGUGGUAGAGCACGUGCUUAGCACACACAGGGUCCAUGGGUUCAAUCCCCAGUACCUCCA
This 73-nucleotide transfer RNA is filed under the name Camelus bactrianus (Bactrian camel). It matches the Rfam family "tRNA". Rfam says of the family: Transfer RNA (tRNA) molecules are approximately 80 nucleotides in length. Lineage: Eukaryota; Metazoa; Chordata; Mammalia; Artiodactyla; Camelidae. RNAcentral also lists the same sequence under 2 other names. The record is from Rfam by way of RNAcentral.